UCAUAGUGAUCCGGUGGUUCUGAAUGGAAGGGCCAUCGCUCAACGGAUAAAAGGUACUCCGGGGAUAACAGGCUGAUACCGCCCAAGAGUUCAUAUCGACGGCGGUGUUUGGCACCUCGAUGUCGGCUCAUCACAUCCUGGGGCUGAAGUAGGUCCCAAGGGUAUGGCUGUUCGCCAUUUAAAGUGGUACGCGAGCUGGGUUUAGAACGUCGUGAGACAGUUCGGUCCCUAUCUGCCGUGGGCGCUGGAGAACUGAGGGGGGCUGCUCCUAGUACGAGAGGACCGGAGUGGACGCAUCACUGGUGUUCGGGUUGUCAUGCCAAUGGCACUGCCCGGUAGCUAAAUGCGGAAGAGAUAAGUGCUGAAAGCAUCUAAGCACGAAACUUGCCCCGAGAUGAGUUCUCCCUGACUCCUUGAGAGUCCUGAAGGAACGUUGAAGACGACGACGUUGAUAGGCCGGGUGUGUAAGC
RNAcentral lists this ribosomal RNA (470 nucleotides) under Escherichia coli. RNAcentral's name for it is "partial 23S ribosomal RNA". It matches the Rfam family "Bacterial large subunit ribosomal RNA", at positions 2410 to 2874 of the family's 2925-position model. The record is from RNAcentral. Lineage: Bacteria; Pseudomonadati; Pseudomonadota; Gammaproteobacteria; Enterobacterales; Enterobacteriaceae.